Molecule: ribosomal RNA, 373 nt
Filed under: uncultured organism
Description: partial 16S ribosomal RNA
Rfam family: Bacterial small subunit ribosomal RNA
Source: RNAcentral
GGAGGGUGCUAGCGUUGUUCGGAAUUACUGGGCGUAAAGCGCGUGCAGGCGGCCCGUUAAGUCAUGUGUGAAAGCCCUCGGCUCAACCGGGGAAUGGCACAUGAAACUGGCGGACUAGAGUACGGAAGAGGGGGGUGGAAUUCCUGGUGUAGCGGUGAAAUGCGUAGAUAUCAGGAGGAACACCUGCGGCGAAGGCGGCCCCCUGGUCCGAUACUGACGCUAAUACGCGAAAGCGUGGGGAGCAAACAGGAUUAGAUACCCGGGUAGUCCACGCUGUAAACGAUGGGCACUAGGUGUCCCGGGUAUUGACCCCCCCCUGGGUGCCGCAGCUAACGCAUUAAGUGCCCCGCCUGGGGAGUACGGUGCAAGAUUA